AUCUCUUGAGUAUGAUUAGUACAGUUGCCUUCCAAGCAGAAAGAUUAAAUAAAUUAAAGGAGAU
RNAcentral lists this transfer RNA (64 nucleotides) under Scaliola sp. RNAcentral describes it as "tRNA-Gly". The record is from RNAcentral. Lineage: Eukaryota; Metazoa; Mollusca; Gastropoda; Scaliolidae.